This 225-nucleotide ribosomal RNA is filed under the name uncultured bacterium. Its description in RNAcentral is "partial 16S ribosomal RNA". It matches the Rfam family "Bacterial small subunit ribosomal RNA", at positions 109 to 334 of the family's 1533-position model. The record is from RNAcentral.
AGUAACACGUGAGCAACCUGCCCUUGGCUCUGGGAUAACCUCGGGAAACCGUGGCUAAUACCGGAUACGACACGCGAAGGCAUCUUCUGCGUGUGGAAAGAUUUAUCGGCCAGGGAUGGGCUCGCGGCCUAUCAGCUAGUUGGUGAGGUAAUGGCCCACCAAGGCGACGACGGGUAGCCGGCCUGAGAGGGUGACCGGCCACACUGGGACUGAGACACGGCCCAG